UCUGGUUAAUUUAUAAUGAAUUUCCAAAGUUGGAAUAGGGAAUCCAGAAACCGUUCUGGCCCUGUUUCACGAAAACCUAAAUAUCUCUUAACAUACAACUCAUAUAACUGUUUCGUUUCUUCCAUAUGAAAGUAGAUUCAUCAAGGUUCAUUUACAUACUUUAUUCACUAUUUAAUUCCAUUCCUACUAUUUUUAUUAUUUUUCACAUCUACAUCGCUGCUGCUGUCAGCAUCUGCCUUUAAGGUAGACUUUACCUAUUUCAUAGUUUCCAUGAUUCAAUUAGCCCCUUUUUUUUUGCAUACAUAGCACAAAGUAUAAUCAUGAUAAACCAUUCCAAUGUCUAAUCGUUUCCAAACAUUUCCAUACCUCUUAGUGAUCAACAUACAAAACGAUUAUAGUACUAUGCUAAAAACGUAUAUAAGCCAUUUUCGCAUGGCUAUCCAAAUUUACACAAAAUCCAUGGGUACAUGACCAACAACAAGAAGGGUAGUCCUAUACAUGCCAUUUCAAAGUUCAACCAAAAUUGUACCAAAAGGGGGCUUUGAUAGUGUGGGAGACUUCGACUUCAAAAAAUCUCGAGUCCGAUAGCUGACGAGCCAAAAUCUAUAAAACAGAGAAACAAAGAAACGGAGUAAGCAAUUUAUGCUUAGUAAGUUUUGAGCAAGGGAUUCCAGCACAACAAAAGUAUAGCAUUCAUAUAGCUAAACGGAUAAUUUCAUAUGCACAAAUUCUCAAUAUCAUACUUACUUCACAUUACCAACCCUUAUGUUCAUACACAAAAGAUCAACUUAGCCAAAGGCCGGUAGCUCAUUUAUCGACUGAGCGAAUACAGAUUUGUAAGGGAUCAACUAAUUCAAAGCACACACGAAACAUACCUCAUCGCUGGGAUUUUACGAGCGUAUUAAUUUAAAUUUUUACAGCAAGAUUGCUCGUUCCCAAAUCAAGCAUCUUCGGGGUUUAGUCGGAUAUAACCACUCGCACAAGGCCUUCGGGUCUUAACCUGGAUAUGGUUACUAGCAUAAAUGCCUUCGGGACUUAGCCCGGAUAUAGUCGCUAGCACAAAUGCCUUCGGAUCUUAGUCCGGAUGUAGUCGCUUAGCACAAAAGCCUUCGGGACUUAGCCCGGAUAUAGUCACUUAGCACAAAAGCCUUCGGGACUUAGCCCGGAUAUCAUUCGAGUAACCAUGCACAUAUAUCAAUAAAUCAUGACACAUUCAUAUUUCAUUUUCAUUACCAAAGCUCAAACACAAGACACUUAUCACAUUUACAAUUUCGGCUCAAUAGCCACAUACAAGAGCAUGAUUUUGAUUUACUUAAGACAUAAUCUAAUCGAAUCAUAAUUUAAGUCCCAUUACUCGAAAACUUACCUCGGAUGUUGUCGAACGAUUCUGAUGGCUAUUCGACCACUUUUUCCUUCCCUUUAUCGGAUUUAGUUCCCCUUUGCUCUUGAGCUUAAUUUAACAAAUAAAUUGAUUUAAUCAUUUGAGCAUCGAAAAGAGGAACUCAAGGUACUUGGCCCACAUAUAUCCAUUAGACAUUAAAGUCACAUAUGUACGGAAUCAUGAAUCAAACUCAACACAUUAGUUAAUACUCUCCUUAGCCGAAUUUUCUAAGUCAAGAUAAAGCGUUCAAUAUGCUUACCUAUGGCCGAACAACACAUCAACCUAUGUACUCAUUCAUGUGGCCGAUUAUGCAUGUCUAUGUUGAGGCCAAUUAUAUACUCAAUACCACACACAAAUGGCAUACCUUUUACUAACUAAUGCAUUACAUAUUAUAACUCAAUACGCAUCCAUCAUGUACUCCAUAACCGAAACACCAUCAUAUGUAAAUAUAUACCUUGAGAUAUUGUAUAUGUCAUACCAAUACGUCAUGUGCAAACAUAUAUAUAUGUGCAAGAGCCGAAUCUCAAAGUUGAUUAUAACUAAACAUGAACAUAAAUCCAAAACACAAAUCUUACCUACCAUGCAAUAAGCAUAAAUCAUACUUAUGGAUAUACCAUGGCCGAAUACAUCACAACACCAUACCAUUUCAAUUUUGGUCAUGGUUAAACAAAGAACUUAAUGUCUCACUCAAAAAUGCUUAAAAGAAAAUCCAAGAGUCAUCAAUCCACCAUCACAUGUAUCAUUAACAAGCUUCAUAUUUAGAAUGCAAUGGCAUUGACACAAAAUCCACCUAGGCCGAAUAUCAUCCCCAUGACAUAGCAAAGAUUUGAACCAUGGGCUAAUUAGAACUCAAGCUAGCAACUAAAAACAUGCAUGAAUCUCAUGGCACAACCUCAAACAUACCUUAAUCUAGAUACAAGUAUGGCCAAACCUCCUCCUAAUCCUCUUCCAAACCAAACAUGAAGCAAGAACUCCUUCCUUCUUCCUUAGAAUUUUUGGCCAAAAGAAAUGAAAAAUGAUGAACAAAUUUUUUUUUCUUUUCUCCAACUCACGGCAAUGGGGGGGGAACACUAACACACAUUCCUUUUUUUUUUGUUUUCUUCCUUCCAUUUCUUAUUAGUUUAUUGCCCAUGCUUCUUAUUUUAUUUUUCCAUUAACACAACAUGUCUUAUGACAUGUUUUGCCCAUCAUCCCUUGUCAUGGCCGGCCACUAGUACUUAAAUGGGGGGAAAUUGACAUGCAAGUCCACCCAUUUGAUUACAUGCACUAUUAGGCCACUUGCAUUUGCCUAGCACAUUUCUAAAUUUUCUCACAUAAGUCCUAUCAACUAAAUUCACAUGCAAUUAACUAAAUCGAAGCUUAAAACUUUCACACAUUUAUAUUCACAUAUUUUAGGCAAUAAUUAUCACAUUCAAAUAAUUUGGUGACUCGGUCUAGCGGUCCUGAGACCGCUUUCCGACUAGGGUCACUUUAGCGCUGUCACAACUCUCCCCCACUUAAGAAAUUUUCGUCCCCGAAAAUCUUACCGGUAAAUAGGUUUGGGUAUCGUUCUUUCAUCGAGCUCUCGGUUUUCCAAGUAGCUUUCUCGAUCCCGUGUUUGAGCCAUAACACCUUUACUAACGAAACCCUUUUGUUUCACAACUCUUUCACUUCACGAGCUAGGAUACGCAUCGGUUCUUCUUCAUAACUCAUAUCGGCUUGAAUUUCAACCUCUAAUGGGCUAAUUAUGUGCGAUGGAUCAGAUCUAUAGCGUCAAAGCAUCGAAACAUGAAAGAUGUCGUGAAUCUUUUCAAGUUCAGGGGGCAAAAUCAAUCGAUACACAACUGGACCGACUCGUUCGGAUAUUUCGUAUGGCCCGAUGAACCUCGGACUCAAUUUGCCCUUACGCCCAAAUCUGAGUAUCUUUUUCCAAGGUGAAACUUUAAGAAACACCUUAUCUCCCACCUGAUACUCAAUGUCUUUUCGUUUCAGAUCCGCGUACGACUUCUGGCGAUCUGAGGCUAUCUUUAGACUUUCACAGAUUACUUUUACUUUCUGUUCAGCAUCUUUAAUCAAAUCCACUCCGAAAAUUUUACUUUCACCGAGCUCGGUCCAAAACAAUGGUGUACGGCAUUUACGCCCGUACAAAGCCUUGUAAGGUGCCAUCUUAAUACUUGAUUGAAAACUAUUGUUGUAAGCGAAUUCAAUCAAUGGUAAAUACCAUUCCCAUGAACCACUAAACUCAAGGAUGCAACAUCUCAACAUAUCCUCAAGUAUCUGAAUUACCCGCUCGGAUUGACCAUCGGUUUGUGGAUGAAAAGCGGUGCUAAAAUGCAGCUUGGUACCCAAAGCUUCUUGCAAUUUCUUCCAAAAUCGCGAGGUGAAUCUCGGAUCUCUAUCCGACACAACAGAAAUCGGUACCCCGUGUAAUCUCACAAUCUGAGAAACGUACAAUUCAGCUAGUUUAUCCAAUGAAAAAUCCGUACGCACGGGGAUAAAGUGAGCUGACUUAGUCAGUCUAUCAACAACAACCCAAAUCGCAUCCUUCUUACUUGCUGACAAUGGCAGUCCGGACACAAAGUCCAUUGUGACUCGACCCCAUUUCCACUCGGGUAUCAUGAUCGGCUGAAGUAAUCCUGAAGGCACUUGAUGUUCCGCUUUCACUUGUUGACAUAUUAAACAUCUCGAAACAAAGUCGGAGAUGUCUCGUUUCAUACCAUGCCACCAAAACCGACGUUUCAAAUCGUUGUACAUUUUCAUACUCCCCGGGUGAAUUGACAUUCGGCUACAAUGGGCUUCGUUGAGAAUCAUCGAAAUGAGUUCCGAAUUCCUUGGAACACACAAACGACUUCUGAACCUCAAACAAUCAUCAUCAUCAAUUUGAAACUUCGAUUCCUUGUUCGGAACACACUCAGCCCGUUUUUCAACCAAUUCAUCAUCGACUUUCUGAGCUUCACGAAUUUGAUGAAUCAAUAAUGGUUUGGCUUUUAAUUCAGCUACUAACACAUUGUCGAGUAGAACAGACAAGUGUACAUUCAUCGCUCGCAAAGCAAACAGUGAUUUCCGGCUUAAGGCGUCCGCAACCACAUUAGCUUUUCCCGGGUGAUAAUUAAUGACAAGCUCAUAAUCUUUCAACAACUCAAGCCAAUGCCUUUGUCGCAGAUUCAAGUCUCGCUGGGUCAUCAAAUAUUUGAGACUUUUGUGAUCCGAAAAUACAUGGCACUUCUCACCAAACAAAUAAUGUCACCAUAUUUUCAAAGCAAAUACGAUGGCGGCUAGUUCGAGAUCAUGGGUCGGAUAAUUUCUCUCGUCUGGCUUCAAUUGUCUCGACGCAUAGCCCACAACUCGACCUUCUUGCAUCAAUACGCAACCCAACCCAAGUAGGGAUGCGUCACUAUAAAUGACAAACUCUUUGCCUGAUUCGGGUUGCACUAAAAUUGGAGCUUCAGUCAAAUAAGUUUUCAGUUGAUCGAAACUUUUCUGGCAUUUCUCCGUCCAUUCGAACUUAACAUCCUUUUGAAGUAGCUUCGUCAUUGGUGUGGCUAUCAUCGAGAAACCUUUUACAAAUCGUCAGUAAUAAUCGGCGAGCCCCAGAAAGCUCCGAACUUCGGUAAUAUUUCUAGGAGGCUUCCAGUUAAGUAUGGCUGAAAUUUUGCUCGGGUCAACUCGAAUACCCGAUGCGGAUACCACAUGACCCAAGAAGCUAACCUCUCUUAACCAGAACUCACACUUACUGAACUUAGCAUAUAACUGCUUAUCCCGCAAAAUUUGCAACACUAAUCUCAGGUGCUCAGCAUGUUCGGUCUCAUCUCUUUAAUAGACCAAGAUGUCAUCAAUGAACACAACUACGAACCGGUCCAAAUACUGUCUGAAGAUCCGAUUCAUCAAAUCCAUAAAUACCGCAGGGGCAUUAGUGAGCCCGAACGGCAUCACUAAGAACUCGUAGUGACCGUACCUCAUUCUGAAAGCAGUUUUGGGUACGUCCGAAUCUCGAAUCCGCAACUGAUAAUAACCCGAUCUCAAAUCUAUCUUUGAAAACACUGAGGCUCCCUUUAGUUGAUCAAACAAAUCAUCAAUACGCGGUAACGGAUAUUUAUUCUAUAUCGUCACUUUAUUCAGUUGACGAUAGUCAAUGCACAACCUCAUGGUUCCAUCCUUUUUUUUCACAAACAAUACUGGUGCACCCCAAGGUGAGAAACUUGGUCGAGCGAAACCUCUAUCCGUCAAUUCUUGCAACUGAGCUUUCAACUCUUUUAACUCGGUUGGUUCCAUACGAUACGGAGCUAUCGAAAUCGGCGUAGUCCCAGGUACAAGCUCAAUACCAAACUCUAUCUCCCGAACAGGUGGCAAACCCGGUAAUUCUUAGGGAAAAACAUCCGGGUAUUCACAAAUUACUGGUACCGACUCAAGUUUCUUUUCUAAUUCCUUGUUAUCAAGUACAUACGCAAGGUAUGCUUCAUACCCCUUUCUUACAUAUUUCUGAGCCAACAUUGAGGAUAUUACAGCUGGCAACCCAUCCAAGUCCGUAGACUCAACUCGGAUUACUUCGUUAUUUGCGCACCUCAAAUCAAUAGUCUUGCUUUUGCAAUUCACAACCGCAUCAUGCACGGUCAACCAAUCCAACCCGAGAAUAACAUCAAAUUCAUCAAACGGCAGAAGCAUCACGUCCACCGGAAAACAGGAACCUCGAAUUACUAGGGGACAUUUCUUACACACUUUGUCGACAAGCACGUAACGACCCAAGAGAUUUGACACCCGAAUUACGAACUCAGUAGACUCAAUAGGUAAAGUCUUACUGGAUGCUAAGGUUUCACAUAUAUAAGAAUGAGUAGAACCGGGGUCAAUCAAAGCAAUUACAUUAGUAUCAAAGAGAGUAAAAGUACCGGUAAUAACAUCAGGCGAAGAAGCAUCCUCGCGGGCACGUAUAGCAUAAGCUCUAGCAGGCGCACGAGCCUCAGAUCUGGUUGUAGCAUCUCUAGAUCCUCUCUGACCGCCACUAGCAUUGCCCGUGUUUCUAGACGGUCUACCCCGAGCAGUAGUAGCACCUGGUUUCCCACUCUGACUUACAUUUUGUUCAGGCAACCUCGGGCAAUCCUUGAUAAAGUGGUCAGCUAAUCCACACUUAUAGCAGGAGCGGUCAUGGAACCUACAGCUCCCUGAAUGCCAUUUACCACAAUGCUGACACUCCGUUCUGUCUCGACGUUCAUUCCCAACACUGGCGACCGAAGUGCCUCGUGUACCCAUAGGGGGUCGAUCACGAUCUCGUCUAAAAAUGCCCGAAGUGCCUCUAGACCGGCCCACAUCAUCUCAAAAUUUCUUCGAUGCCUGUUGAAGAGACUUUCCCGAGGAUCUUUUACGAAACUCUCCAAUUCCCACAUCAACUUUUUGUUUUUCUUUUCUAAGCUCUUCGGCUUUACAAGCUCGCUCGACAAGUACUACGAACUCUCGUAUUUCAAGAAUGCCAACGAACAUUUUUAUAUCUUCAUUCAGCCCAUCCUCGAAGCGUUUACACAUGAUAGCCUCGGACGAAACACAUUCCUGAGCGUAUCUACUAAGUCUAACAAAUUUUCGCUCGUAAUCAGUAACUGACAUAGAACCUUGCUUAAGCUCAAGAAAUUCCUUCCGUUUUUGAUCAACAAAUCUCUGACUGAUAUACUUUUUUCGAAACUCAGUUUGGAAAAACUCCCAAGUUACUUGCUCUCGGGGCACAACAGAAGUCAGAGUACUCCACCAAUAGAAAGUAGAAUCGCGUAGCAAGGAGAUAGUACACUUUAGGCAUUAUCGGGUGUACAAGAUAGCUCAUCGAGUACCCGGAUAGUGUUGUCCAACCAAAAUUUAGCUUGCUCGGCAUCGUCGCUAUCCGUAGCUUUAAAUUCAGUAGCCCCAUGUUUUCGAAUUCUGUCAACUGGGGGCUUAUUUGACCUUAUUUGGUCAGUUACCAGAGGUAUUGUAGGUGCGGGGGUUGUAUUAGUCGGGAAUGGAGGUUGGGGAACUGCCGUAUUAGUUCGAAUGUAUUGGUUGAACCAAUCAUUCAUCACGCUAUAAAAAACUUGCCUAGCCUCAUCAUUCAGAUUGCUAGCAAUCGGUUGAGAGUCCGCCGGAGCUGUCCCUUGUGCAGGAGCAGGCUCCACACUCUCAAGAUCAUCAGCUACCGCUCGGUCGGGAUCGGUAUCCAUUACUAUAAAUAAACACAUUUUCAAUUGUCAGAAAUCACCACACUAUCAAAUAAUCACAAAAUGGCAUGUAUAGCUAGACCCAAACGUAUUACGGUAGUCCUAGAAUCGACUAAACCAUGCUCUGAUACCAAUAAAAUUGUAACACCCCGUGCCCGAGACCGUUGCCAGAGUCGAACACGAGGUGCUAACCGACUUAGUUCAUUUACUUGCCCAGUUCAUUUUAAAAAUUUCCAGACAGCUGGCUAACUGUGUCGCUGUCACCUUAAAAAUCAUAUCUUGAGUUCCACAACUCGAAAAUUAGUUUCGUCAUUUUUCCCUGAAACUAGACUCAUAUAUGCAUCUAUAAUUUUUUUAUAUAAUUUUUGGUUUGGCCAAUUAGUACAGUUUAUUAGUUAAAUUCUCCCAUGUUACAGGGAUUGACUACACUGACCUUCGCGCAUUACGACUUGGAUAUCUCCCUGUACAGGGAUUCAAUACAGAUUCCUUUUGUUUCUAUAGAAACUAAACUCAAAGAGGAAUCUAUACAUAUAUGGCAUGACUCCUAAUUAUCUCUGGUUAAUUUAUAAUGAAUUUCCAAAGUCGGAACAGGGAAUCCAGAAACCGUUCUGGCCCUGUUUCACGAAAACCUAAAUAUCUCUUAACAUACAACUCAUAUGACCGUUUCGUUUCUUCCAUAUGAAAUUAGAUUCAUCAAGGUUCAUUUACAUAAUUUAUUCACUAUUUAAUUCCAUUCCUACUAUUUUUAGUCAUUUUUCACAUCCAC
This 8299-nucleotide long non-coding RNA is filed under the name Gossypium barbadense (sea-island cotton). RNAcentral describes it as "long non-coding RNA (GBAR_LNC007163)". The record is from RNAcentral. Lineage: Eukaryota; Viridiplantae; Streptophyta; Magnoliopsida; Malvales; Malvaceae.